GACGAACGCUGGCGGCGUGCUUAACACAUGCAAGUCGAACGGAAAGGCCCUGCUUUUGUGGGGUGCUCGAGUGGCGAACGGGUGAGUAACACGUGAGUAACCUGCCCUUGACUUUGGGAUAACUUCAGGAAACUGGGGCUAAUACCGGAUAGGAGCUCCUGCUGCAUGGUGGGGGUUGGAAAGUUUCGGCGGUUGGGGAUGGACUCGCGGCUUAUCAGCUUGUUGGUGGGGUAGUGGCUUACCAAGGCUUUGACGGGUAGCCGGCCUGAGAGGGUGACCGGCCACAUUGGGACUGAGAUACGGCCCAGACUCCUACGGGAGGCAGCAGGGGGGAAUAUUGAACAAGGGGCGGAAGCCUGAUGCAGCAACGCCGCGUGCGGGAUGACGGCCUUCGGGUUGUAAACCGCUUUCGCCUGUGACGAAGCGUGAGUGACGGUAAUGGGUAAAGAAGAACCGGCUAACUACGUG
RNAcentral lists this ribosomal RNA (468 nucleotides) under uncultured bacterium. Its description in RNAcentral is "partial 16S ribosomal RNA". It matches the Rfam family "Bacterial small subunit ribosomal RNA", at positions 28 to 507 of the family's 1533-position model. The record is from RNAcentral.